AGAGUGAACGCUGGCGGCAGGCCUAACACAUGCAAGUCGAGCGGCAGCGCGGGAGUAGCAAUACUUCUGGCGGCGAGCGGCGGACGGGUGAGGAACACAUCGGAAUCUACCCUGUCGUGGGGGACAACGUAGGGAAACUUACGCUAAUACCGCAUACGACCUUUGGGUGAAAGUGGGGGACUCGCAAGAGCCUCACGCGAUUGGAUGAGCCGAUGUCCGAUUAGCUAGUUGGUGGGGUAAUGGCCCACCAAGGCGACGAUCGGUAGCUGGUCUGAGAGGACGACCAGCCACACUGGAACUGAGACACGGUCCAGACUCCUACGGGAGGCAGCAGUGGGGAAUAUUGGACAAUGGGGGCAACCCUGAUCCAGCCAUGCCGCGUGGAUGAAGAAGGUCUUCGGAUUGUAAAGUCCUUUCGACGGGGACGAUGAUGACGGUACCCGUAGAAGAGCCCGGCUAACUUCGCGCCAGCAGCCGCGGU
Molecule: ribosomal RNA, 481 nt
Filed under: uncultured bacterium
Lineage: Bacteria
Description: SSU rRNA
Rfam family: Bacterial small subunit ribosomal RNA
Source: RNAcentral